GGGCAUCUGGUACAAUUUCUCUCAGCAUUCUAGACCAGAAUUUGAAAAAUUUAUUAAAAUUUUUUUUUUAAUUUGAUAAAAAUGAUAAUAAAUCUGUUUUUCUCCUUAAACAACAGAAAGAAAGACUGCGUCAGAAGGAAGCCAGUGUGACCACCAAUUAAGAUGGAGACAUAAGAAAAUGAGGAUGGCGAGCUGUGGAUCCCUGCAGCGCUGCAGGAAGCUCUUGAAAGAUUUGUUACUAAAUGUCUGUCUUACUCAGUCCUUUCUGAGGUGUCUGCAGGGAGCGCCCUGUGCCUUCUUAAAAGUCCCUUAUUAGGCCACAGGAGCAAUGAAAGCUAUUUAAGGAAACGCUGCAAGAGUACUGGAUAAUUGUUUCUUAUAGAAGUUCAAAGUACACUCCAUUAUAAGACCAGAAGAAAUAACAAGAUUUUCCAAAUUUUUUUAAAAGCUGAGAUUUCACACUUUCUGUCCCAAACUUGAUCUUUACAAUCUGGUCACAGAAGAGGAUCUUUCAUGACAGUUGCCUUAAGGACAGUUUAAGCCUUGGUUUUUACAUGUUGCUGUUUUGAUAUUUAGUUUAUUGGUCUUAAUUUUGAUCAUGUUGCAGCAAGAUCCUAUGGUAUCUUUCUUGCCAACAAUGUGGAAGCUAACCAAAAUUGUUCAUGAAAACAAUUCCCCACACUAGGGAAAUGAUGAUGCUGUCGUUGUUCAUGCAAUGGAAGGGAGACAAAAUGGAAUCGUGUGUGGGCAGAGAAGGGGCAUAAGUGGCCAUAAAGUUCAUUCAGAGAAUGUUAUGAUACUGGGAGUUGAUCUCGGCCAUUAAGCAAGGCCAAUUGUUUUAUUUUUAUAUCAGUUCAUUGUGGGUUCCUGAACCAGCAGAGAUUCUGCACCCCCACCUCCAGCAGAAACAGUAACACCUGAGCAGGGACAGCCUUGGCAAAGUCAGUGCAUCUGUUUGAACAAGCAACGCAGGGGCAUAGCACCGUGCAUGUUUCAGAUCCAUUGUGAAUGGGUGAUGGAUGCCAUCAUGUACCCAAGUUCCACAUCAUGUCCUGGGACUUGUGGCUGGACCUCUCCCACCACCCCCAGGAGAUGGUUUUCAGACAAGAGGGUAAAUGCCACUGGUGCCUUUUUUAUCAUGGCCUUGGCUGACAGGCAUGUGAAAUAGGGUUAGCCGGGGGUAUUGGCUGGCACAACACUUAAGUUCUUUACAGAAAAAUGAAAAGAAGGUAAAAUAUAUCAAUAUUAAACUUUGAGUAGAAUAUCAGGCCUAGGUAGCUCUUUCUGACCCUGGCUCUUGAUUCACAGAGGAAAACCGCUUUGGAAAUCUACCUGAUAUUUUCCCUUUCAAGCCAUUACUCUUUGAAUCUGUCCUAUGAGGGGAUAAGAAGAGAGACUGGAGUCAGCUUUCUCCUCCAGUGGUGGGGACAGUCUAGAGGUGAACAGUAAUCUUAUGUCCCAUCCAGAUCCACUGCCAUCUAUGUCAUGCCCCUUGCCCUAGCAUCCUUCUAGAACCUCCGAACUUGCCAGGUGCCCAAGUGUCUUCCCAGGAUAUGCCUGCCAAUCAUCAGCCCCUGAACUCAGGGACAUUCCUGUAAUAGAUUGAGCUAAUGAAAGCAGCACCAUACCUGUAUACAGUGCAAACCUCAGAAUCAAGACUACACAAGUGAGAUCAAUGAAGUCACAGGCACUAACCAGAUUUUCUGAUGGUCACAUGCUUGGAUUUUUUUAAAUUCAAAAUGAAGGAAUGAAACUGAAUGGAUAAACAGAUAAGGAAAUUACUGGACUAGAAAGACCUGAAGUUGCUUGUGAGCAAGAAGUUUUCCCUACUGCUUUCCUAUUGUUUCUCCUGGUUUUCACAUAACUGUGAAGAAAAUGAAGGAAAUUCAUCAACUUAAGGCAAAUUUCACUUACAGUCAUCCUGUACUCCAUGACAUUCUUUCUAUUAUGAUGAUGCAGAAAAAAAAUGCCAGUUUUGUCCAUGCCACACAAAUUAUCUCUGCAUUCAGCAAGGUCAGCAUAAGUCUAGAUCCUUAUGGAUGUGAUGGAAGGGAGCACAGGAGGCUUUUGGCAAAGCCACUGCUAUGCACCUCAGAUCUCUAAGUAGAAUGCCCAUGAGAACAUGACACUGUCACUGUGUCCUUCAAGGACUCCCUCUCAGGGAAACCAUGAUGAAGAAUUAGGAGCGGAAACAUGAGUUUGAGAGUUAGACAAAUGCAGCCCAACUUGGUGAUUGAGCUAAUGAAAGCAGCACCAUACCUGUAUACAGUGCAAACUGCUGCAAAGUUCCUGUUUCUAAAGGUCUGCCUGCCUCUGUGGGGGAAGCUUAAUAGGUUUGUAACACUAAAAUGUAUUUCAUGAGCAUUUUAAAGCACAUGGCAGAAUAUCCACUAUUCUCUUCCAGUUUGAGUCCUCUGUUAUCUAAUCUGAAAUGCCACCUCCUAAAUCUACCACUGCAGACAUUGUCUUCAUUUCUACCUUAAGUUCAUGCUCAAUGAAGGUAACAGUUUGCUUCAGGCAGUGCACCUAUAACAAUCUGAAGGCCUUUAAAAAGGUCCCUCUAAAAUGCAGUUGAGUUUGUGUUAAAUGCAGCAGGUAUGUUUAAACUUUUCACAGAGAGGACAUGUUUGCAAUACUAGUUGGCAGCUGGAGCACUUUAGAAAAGCAGGGUUUAAUGGGCUUCUCUAGGCACAGCUCUCCAUGAACUAGACAGGAGAAAGACCAGCAUUGCCACCCUGCAUUUAACCACACUCACACCUGAUUCACUAGCAAAAUGCUAAGAAACCUUCCCUGAUAAACAGCUUUGUCUCUUCCCAGUCAAGAUUCAUUAGCUCAGAGGACACAGUUUGGCAACAGUUCAAAUUCUUGCAUGUGCCACUGGCAAUAAUUAUAGAGCACACAGGUAGACAAGCUAUUGUGCUAAAAUAUAAACACAUUAGGAAAAAGACAGCAUCAGGCCUCUGCAGUGUCCAAUAUUAGGUUAGGAAGUGUGCCAUAUGAUUUUUAAUCUGAGAAGAGGCAGCUUACAAGAAAAAAAGAGGGAAAGUGUGGCCUAGCAGAAGGAUAGACAUAUGAUGAUGCAGAGGCCCUGGGGGUCACAGGUGAUGGUUCUGCUGCUGCAUCCUCGGAUUGAGGUCAAUGAGAUCUUUUCACAAUCUCGUGGCAUCUACCUAGGAAUUAUGGAAAAAGAACUUCUAAAAUCUGAGAAGUAAAUAAGGAAACCCAGUGGUGCUACUAUACCUUUAAAUGUUCCAGCUGAAACAAAUUGCCAACACAGUUGAAAAAUUGAAUAUUAGAUUGAAUACUGGGCAGGGGAGAGGUUUUAAAACCCCCUCCCAGGAAGGAGAAUUGAAGCUGCAAACCUACUGAGCUUCCUUUUUUCAUGAGUACCCUAAGGAAAGGUGUCUCCUAAAUGAGAAGCUCAUGUUACUGGUGAAGAAACUGGAAAAAAAAAAAAAAAAGAGAGCGAGAGAGAGAAAUAACCCUUCAGCAAAAUAAAGAAGUAAUUGGUAUGGUUUUUCUAAAGUCUACAGUUAGAUCUAGUAGAAGAGAUAGAAAUGUAUUUUCAGUAAUGAUUUGCCUAUUGUCCUUAUUGUAGGCUGUGCUGCCUACAACAGGGACGUUUUUGUUUUAAUGAUAUUUUUGAUUCCUUUACAGUUUUGUAUUCUCAGUGCUAGCUCUACUUCUCCCCUUCAGGCACCACUGAUGCAGGUCAUUGCAGGCAGCAGCACAGCAGAUUACACCAGUCAGUGUGAAUUAGCACUGCAGACCUGCAGAUUCUCCUUUCCAGCAAGCAGAUUGGAGCCUUGGUGGGGGAAUUUCUUCGUUUUCUGGCAUCCUAAGUCAGAAUAUUUUGUAGUACUCAUUCCCCCCACCCCCCCAAAAAAAACAAAUAAAACCAAUCUGGGGCAUUAUAUGGUGAGGAAAAAUGAAAUCCACAAAAUAGAGCCUACCCUAAAUAUCUGAUCUAAAUAUCAACUAUGUCAUUUUGUCAAUUAAUUUAAAUUGGGUUGAAAAGUUGCUAGCAAAAAGAAUGUUUAACUUGAACUUCAUUUUCUUUGAUCCUGUAUAUUGUAAUUAGAAAACAAAAAAAUGGAUAAAAUUUGUGGAUAGGAAAGAGAAGCUACAGUGGCUACUGCAUGAACUGCCUGCUGCCCACAUGAGACAAUUUUAAGAAAUUAGACAGUUUUAAGAAAUAUGGAUUUGAAAUAACCAAAGAUUGUCCUGGAAAUUUAAAAAAAAACAUAAAAGAAGACAUGAUAUAAUAGUUGGGAUGUGGGCAUAUUAGACCAUUAAAAUGUCCUCCCUCUGGUUCUCUUAGGAGCCAUUUAGGAACGUGUGGAACACCCAAAAGACCAUGAAUACCACAUUUCACAGAUCAGCCAUUUUAUCUUUGGGGAUCCUACAACUGAAUAGAGUGGAUUAGAUAAAAAUACAGAUUUUUCAUUCAUGUCAGCUACUUUUUCUUUUCUUACAGCACAGGGGAGCCAAGUCUAUGUGGCCAAGCUGAUAGGAUUUGAAAAGAAUGGAUAAUUUUUAGCCUUUCCAAGACGCAAAUAACUUUUGUUAUAUGAAUUUCCAUUUUCCAGCUAUAGAGAGAGCAACUUAGCUACUUAGCAGCUAUUACUGGUACAGAAUUGGCUUAAAGAAAAGCAUCUUUUCUUUAAGAAAAAGAUCUUCUUUAAGAAAAAGGCUCAGCAGAUCUUCUCUUUACACUUACAGAACAGUAUUCCUAAUGCCAGUAGCAAUUGAAUCCAGACAUAAAUGGACUUGAUUACACAGCUUUGUGUGACUGAGAGGCCCACUCUCUGUCAUUUCUACAUACUCAUCAUGUUGACACCUUGUAAGAGGCACUGAAUUUUAGUUUCACAAUUCUUCAUUUCUCUUCCCAAGGAGUGGGCAACCUACCAAAUACUCCCAAAUCAACACUUUGCUGGGAAGUAGUGAAUUUCAGAGAGUUUUAACAUGUUAAAGUUGAAGCCAAUUUAGUAGCCCUAUUUGUUCCAAGACUCUUAACCAAUAAUGUGAUAUAAACACAUUAUAUUGCAUUUGGGAAAUCUGUGUAGUUAACAACUUGCUUGGAAACGUGAAGUUAUUAAAAUGGCAGGUAGCUAACUGUGUCUCUUAAGUCAUCAUGACAUUCCUCCCAACAAAGAGAUUAAGGAAGCAAAUCAAGCCUCAUGAAUGAGGUUGGCUGUCCUCAAGUAGUAAUUGCUGGACUGAUUUUCCCCUUGAUCCAGCCCUUCUUCUAACUAUCCUGGGGAUAACCAAUAGCCUUCCCUUCUCUGAUAUCAUGGUUCCUUUAAGUCCAUAGCUCACAUGAACUUCAGAUGUUAUUGCAUAUUACAUCAAGUACUUGAUCAAGAGAAACCUAACAAUCUCAAUUUUUAUAUGAAAGUGGUAAAUAAAACCAUUAGGUUAUUCUGCAUUCCAUUUGUGCUUGUAUAGCUCUCUAUUUUUUUAAUCUUAGGUAUACAUAUCUCCUAAAGACUGACACAUGUACUUCUGUAGGCCUUUCUUUUUUUAAUGCUUUGUGUGAAACUUGAUGGUAUUCAGCUAAUAAAAUGCACAUGUACUCAUAGAUUCAGGCACAAAUUAAUAUCUAAAGUGUUUGGAACAAACAACUUUCUACCACAUUUGAGCUAUCUCAUAGGCUGAGUGUUCCCCUAAAUUCUACGUGAGGAGCUCUCUACCUUUGAAACAGUAAGCAUAUCUUAAAAGAGAAUGACUGUUUCCCGCAAGUAUAGUAUGAGUUUCCUGUGCAUUAUCUUAGCAUAUUGCAUAAGAUAUCAGAAGUUCUCAGGCACAUUAGCAGUGGUUUGUCAAUGUCUUUGUUAAAGUUGUACCUGCUUUCCUUCAUUGUUCUCUAAAGAGCUUUCUUCCACUUUCAUCUUCAGAAGCAAAUGCAUUUUUGAUAGUUUGGCUGGGUUAUCUCUCCAAGUUAAUCUUUCCAAAGUGAGAGGCUACUCCCACAGACCACUGCAUGUACAGGAAAAUUAUUCUCUACCUCCCAUGGCAUGAAUGAUAGAUGUUCAGAAACAAACAUCUCUCUGGGGAUUGUUGGCAUGGAUUCUGAAUUCUACUUUCUUUCUGUGAGGUAUAUAAAAAGGAACAUUUAGCAUGCAAAGUUGUAUUGCUCUUUCUAAUAAGAGACUAGAAGGACAUUUAAAAUGUUUAAAUUUUAGAUAUGCUUGCAUGAACUAUAAAUAGCUCUUUUUUCCCCUUCUUGCCAAUUUGUCUCUGAAUAUAAUCUUAUUGAUAUUCUUACCAUCAAGGUAUAAAGAAGGUAGUCUCAGCACCUCUGAGACUGUGUCCUGCAUAAGUCUUGAAAGAUGUCUAUUUUCAUUGGAAAUAAACCAACCAGAAAGGGGGAAAGUCUAGUCUAGUAAUUAUUCAGUUUGCCUACAGUGAUGGGGUCUACCAAAGGCAUGGGUCUAGUCUAAAAUCAUUAAUUUUAUGAUUCUUUAAUUCUGCAGUUUCUCAAGACAAAAAUAAUGUGACCCUACCAUCAGCUGGAUUUAAAACUUUUGAGGAGUUUUUAUGCAUUAGGAAAUAAGGAUGUUUCUUUAAUAGCAUCAAAGAUUCUCCUAAGAAGAUAGAAACUUAAAUUAGAAAUUGGAUAAUUUUUAAGAAUCUUUAGAGGACGCAUGUCAUUGAUUCAUCGUUGCCUUUUCCUUUCAUUGAACUGUAAUUAGAAUAGUGUGGGAAGCACAAUGCCCUUGGACUUUGAUUUAGAGGAUCGUGCUUUGGCCUGGAAAAUGAGCAUUGGCCUGCCUGCCUUGAACCUAAGUGAAAUCAGUUAGCAUCCUAAUAUGAAUCAGAUGUAACAGAAAUGUAAAUUAUUUCAAGAUCCUUUAGGUUUUAAUUUUCUUAGUGACACCCUGGACCUUGUAUGCUGCCUCCUAAAAUGCAUUUGAUCCAUACAGUGGUCUUCAGUUCAGAUUUGUGAGAUGUCAAGCAAUGGAAGGAGGGAAAAAAGUAGGAGGCAGGGGACUAGAAAUUUUUAACAAAGCCAGUUCAAUAUUUUGCUGAUCCCAUUCAUUUUGUUUGAGAACUGGUGAUUUUUGCCAUAGUUGUAAUCAAAGGAAGCUUUUUAAUGGAAACUGAGCGAUCUCUAUUAGGCAAGUAGGCAUGCCCAGUAUAUUGUAUUGGUCGGUGGCAGAUGUGCUGGGAAAGCAGGUACCCCAGUGAAACUGGUGCAUGCUGUUUCAGUAACUCGAUCAACUUCAGAUCUGCUUCCAUGGGGUUGCUUGUUCAUGGACCUGCCUGUUUUCUCUGGCCUUCUUUCGUUUUUCCCUUUUCUGGACGUAGGCCUCAGCCUCUCCCCUUCCUUCACAUCCCACAGCUAGUCUUUCCUAACUGAGUCUUUACGGUUUCUCCCCAACCCAACUCUUUUUCUCAUCCCUGCAUCAUAGACACUGAAUAUCUCCCUGGGCCCCUUCUCCACCCUCUCACACCCUGUGCUCCACCACUGGAUGGGGAGCUCCACUGUCACCAAGGAGCCAGAGUGAGACACACUGCUGGGACUGCCUCUUGUUAAUGUCAGCGUCACCUCAUCAUUUAGGCCAAAGGAAAAUCCAUAAAAGAGAUGGAAAGUGCAUUUAUUUUUCAUUUUAUUUUACUUUAUUUUAAGAGGGUUGGAUUCAGGUUUGCAGGGAGUGUUCUAGUCCUCAAUUUUUCAUAGAUUUUACUUUAAAACUAUCUAAUUAGGGAAUACUCUUUUGAUAAACUUAUAAGUCAGACCAGGUCACAGCUGUGAUAAAGAAGACUCAGUUUGACUUUCAAGUAACUUUCUGUGCUGCCAGACAAAUUUGACUUCUGUGCAAACAUUUUGAAUCAGACUUAUUAUUGCCACUCCAUUCUUACCACUCACUACUCAUGAUUCAAACAUUAUCCCUAAGCUGAAUCAGGAUGUUGACAUUUUGUGGUCAAUUUCACAUUAACAGUAACUAUUGCACUCUUAAAAGCACUUAAAGAAAGUGUAAGCAUGUCUUAAAUAGUCUACUGUUUGACCUGGUAAAAUCUUGGCUUUUCUGUUUAAUUAAGUAUUAGACUAAUCUGAAGAUGUAACUUUUAAGGGACUUUGAGCAAUAACAAAGACAGUUGGGGAAAAGGAGAAGGCACUUUAAAGACAUGAAACCUUACAUUACACGCUCUUGGAUAUUUUUAAAUAUAAGCUAAUUCGAUUCAGGUAUUUUUCCCUUUACAUUUUUAAGAAUAUGUAUUUCUAAUUUGUUUGCAUAUUUAAUUUUGUCAAAGCUGAGAACUGCUCAUAAGUUAAAUUUUUACAUGUAAUUUGCAACCAAAUGAAGUAUUUAUUUUUAAAAAGAAAAGGUGAAGGAAACAAUAUUGAUUUGUACAUAAUGAAAAUGUGUGUAUGUGUGUGUGUGUAUAUAUAUAUACAUAUAUAUAUUUUCCUCCUUGACACUACUUGGUCAAUUUAUUAAGUGUAUUUUUGUACAUAGAAUAUAUUGGUUAGAAAAAUGUAGAUUGUCUAUUCUAAGAAUUCUCUGUGAUAGAUUAUAUUUAUCCUAAUCUAUUGAUACCUCUAUUAAUUUGUUUCAAGAGAUACAACUAUAUUUUUUGGAAUUUGCAGAGAAUUGCAUUCAUGGCUUCCAAUUGUAAAUAUGCUAAGGGUAUUUUAAUAAAUCCUGGUUUCAAGUCCAUC
This 8668-nucleotide long non-coding RNA is filed under the name Marmota monax (woodchuck). The record is from RNAcentral. Lineage: Eukaryota; Metazoa; Chordata; Mammalia; Rodentia; Sciuridae.